UCUUGAUUUAAAAAUAUAAUACCAGAGUACUACGGAUAGUAUUAAAUUUGUACUAGUGAAUUUAAAACUCAAAGAGCUUGGCGGUAUUUUAGACCAUCCAGGGGAACCUGUCUCUUAAUCGAUAAUCCACGCAGUACCUUACUUUUUUUCAAAGUUUGUAUACCGUCGUCGGCAGGUAACUUUUUAGAAAAUAAUAGUUAGCGGUGUAAAGGUUUUGCUUUUUACGUCAGAUCAAGGUGCAGCUUAUAGAAGAGUGAAGAUGGGUUACAAUUAAUAUUUUUAAUUACGAAGAUAAUAUAGAAUUUUGUUAUUAAAGGUGGACUUGGAAGUAAAAUUAAUAAAUAUUUUAGAAAGAAAUUUUGAAUUAUAUGGCUCUGAAAUGUGCACACAUCGCCCGUCGCUCUCGUUGAAAAAUGAGAUAAGUCGUAACAUAGUAGAGGUAACGGAAGUUGUUUCUUGAUGACA
RNAcentral lists this ribosomal RNA (465 nucleotides) under Pila conica. RNAcentral's name for it is "partial small subunit ribosomal RNA". It matches the Rfam family "Microsporidia small subunit ribosomal RNA", at positions 719 to 1311 of the family's 1311-position model. The record is from RNAcentral. Lineage: Eukaryota; Metazoa; Mollusca; Gastropoda; Architaenioglossa; Ampullariidae.